UGGAGGGCAAGUCUGGUGCCAGCAGCCGCGGUAAUUCCAGCUCCAAUAGCGUAUAUUAAAGUUGUUGCAGUUAAAAAGCUCGUAGUUGAAUUUCGAGAUCAGUACGCUGGUCGUGCCUUCGGUAUGCACUGGUGUCACUGGUUUCUCCCUUCUGAAGAACCGUCAUGUCAUUAAGUUGGUGUGGCGGGGAAUCAGGACUGUUACUUUGAAAAAAUUAGAGUGUUUAAAGCAGGCUCGCGCUUGAAUACAUUAGCAUGGAAUAAUGAAAUAGGACGUUUGACCCUAUUUUGUUGGUUUCUAGGAUCGACGUAAUGAUUAAUAGGGAUAGUUGGGGGCAUUAGUAUUCAAUUGUCAGAGGUAAAAUUCUUGGAUUUAUUGAAGACUAACUACUGCGAAAGCAUUUGCCAAGGAUGUUUUCAUUAAUCAAGAACGAAAGUUAGGGGAUCGAAGACGAUCAGAUACCGUCGUAGUCUUAACCAUAAACUAUGCCGACUAGGGAUCGGAUGAUGUUAAUUUUUUAAUGACUCAUUCGGCGCCUUACGGGAAAC
RNAcentral lists this ribosomal RNA (548 nucleotides) under uncultured Glomeromycotina. Its description in RNAcentral is "SSU rRNA". It matches the Rfam family "Eukaryotic small subunit ribosomal RNA", at positions 549 to 1098 of the family's 1831-position model. The record is from RNAcentral. Lineage: Eukaryota; Fungi; Glomeromycota.